This 660-nucleotide long non-coding RNA is filed under the name Olea europaea subsp. europaea. Lineage: Eukaryota; Viridiplantae; Streptophyta; Magnoliopsida; Lamiales; Oleaceae. The record is from RNAcentral.
CCACAAGAUAGCUUGCUCACUGAGCAAAAUAAUCUAGAUCAUUAUUCGACAAUUCAAUUUAAACAACUCGAUAUCAUACCAUUUGUUGAAAUUCCCUUAAAUUAAUCAAAGAAACCAGAGGAAAUCAUAAUGGCAAGUUAAUACAUGCAAAAUAUUACAUAGAUAGGAUAAAUCGUGGGAUCUUACUCAAAUUAAUGCCCCUUCAGGUUUUUGAAGAUUUCAAGUUUUUCUUGGAGGUUCAAAAGUCGGCCAGCAAUGUUUGGCAGGUUCUUGGGAAAAUUUAAAUUGUUAGUUUUUAUGAAUCUCAAAUUUCUUGAAGGUUGAAGAACAGCCAGCAACAUAUUUUCUUGAAGUUUCGGGCAGAUUCAAAAGGGUUGUAAACCGGCAAGAAAAGGUGUUGCAAUGUCCUUUAAGGAAGACUCAAGGCAGCUUCUUGGUUCAAUCAAGUGCCAGCAGGUUGCUUUCUUGCAAUGGUUGAGCUGCUUCAUGGGAUUACUUGGUUCCAUGUUCAGUCAGCUAUAUUUAUACUGUGAGUUUGGCCUGUUUAUGUGCCAUUCUAGUCAGUUUGUGGGCAGAUUCUGGGUGUUUAUCUGGCCAGCUGGGUGUUAGCUCUUGAAGAUUUGAAAUGGUUCUUGAAGUUCAUAAGUAGGUAAAUUAACA